This 533-nucleotide ribosomal RNA is filed under the name Ramichloridium sp. Fun49W1. RNAcentral describes it as "eukaryotic LSU rRNA". The stretch from base 205 to 358 matches the Rfam family "5.8S ribosomal RNA". The record is from RNAcentral. Lineage: Eukaryota; Fungi; Ascomycota; Dothideomycetes; Mycosphaerellales; Dissoconiaceae.
GGAAGAAAAUUUAACAAGGUUCCGUAGGUGAACCUGCGGAGGGAUCAUUACUGAGUUUGGGGGUUUAGGCCCCCGACCUCCAACCCUUUGUGAACCAACUCUGUUGCUUCGGGGGCGACCCUGCCGUUCGCGGCGGCGGCGCCCCCGGAGGCCCCAAUCAAACACUGCGUAACUUUGUAGUCGGAGUCUGAUUAAAUAAAUCAAAACUUUCAACAACGGAUCUCUUGGUUCUGGCAUCGAUGAAGAACGCAGCGAAAUGCGAUAAGUAAUGUGAAUUGCAGAAUUCAGUGAAUCAUCGAAUCUUUGAACGCACAUUGCGCCCCUUGGUAUUCCGGGGGGCAUGCCUGUUCGAGCGUCAUUACACCACUCAAGCCUGGCUUGGUAUUGGGCGCCGCGGGGCUCUCCCGCGCGCCUUAAAGUCUUUCCGGCUGAGCUAUCCAUCUCUAAGCGUUGUGGCAACUAUUCGCGGUGAGGUUGAUGGCGGCGGCCGUUAAAUCUUUUAUUCAAGGUGACCUCGGAUCAGGAGGAACCCG